GUCCCAUUCGUCUAGACGGCCCAGGACAUUGCUUUUUCAUGGCAAAAACACGGGUUCAAAUCCCGUAUGGGAUA
Molecule: transfer RNA, 74 nt
Filed under: Jakoba libera
Lineage: Eukaryota; Jakobea; Jakobida; Jakobidae
Description: tRNA-Glu
Rfam family: tRNA
About the family: Transfer RNA (tRNA) molecules are approximately 80 nucleotides in length.
Source: RNAcentral